CCUACGGGAGGCAGCAGUGGGGAAUUGUUCACAAUGGGCGCAAGCCUGAUGACGCAACGCCGCGUGGGGGAUGAAGGUCUUCGGAUCGUAAACCCCUGUCGAAUGGGACGAAAGACUCGCGAGUUAAUACUUUGCGAGAGUGACGGUACCGUUAAAGGAAGCCGACGGCUAACUCUGUGCCAGCAGCCGCGGUAAUACAGAGGUGGCAAGCGUUGUUCGGAAUUACUGGGCGUAAAGGGCGCGUAGGCGGCCUUCUAAGUCAGACGUGAAAUCCCCCGGNUUAACCUGGGAACUGCGUCUGAUACUGGGAGGCUUGAGUAUGGGAGAGGGAUGUAGAAUUCCAGGUGUAGCGGUGAAAUGCGUAGAUAUCUGGAGGAAUACCGGUGGCGAAGGCGGCAUCCUGGACCAUAACUGACGCUGAGGCGCGAAAGCUAGGGGAGCAAACGGGAUUAGAUACCCCGGUAGUCCUAGCCCUAAACGAUGAAUACUUGGUGUGGCGGGUAUCGAUCCCUGCCGUGCCGAAGCUAACGCAUUAAGUNUUCCGCUGGGGAGUCGGUCGCAAGGCUGAAACUUAANGAAUUGACGGUGUGAAGACGUGCGAGGACGACGACGAGGGAGGAGG
This 622-nucleotide ribosomal RNA is filed under the name uncultured bacterium. RNAcentral describes it as "bacterial SSU rRNA". It matches the Rfam family "Bacterial small subunit ribosomal RNA", at positions 338 to 951 of the family's 1533-position model. The record is from RNAcentral.